GUAAAUGAUGAACAUGCACUGGGCUCUGAGCAGUUAAAAACUGCUUAAUUUGAUGCACAUUUGCAGCCUAGAAAGCUAUGUCUGAUGC
Molecule: small nucleolar RNA, 88 nt
Organism: Mangifera indica (mango)
Lineage: Eukaryota; Viridiplantae; Streptophyta; Magnoliopsida; Sapindales; Anacardiaceae
Source: RefSeq, a predicted model, not a curated record